UAGGGAAUCUUCCGCAAUGGGCGAAAGUCUGACGGAGCAACGCCGCGUGAGUGAUGAGGGUCUUCGGAUCGUAAAACUCUGUUAUUAGGGAAGAACAAAUGUGUAAGUAACUAUGCACGUCUUGACGGUACCUAAUCAGAAAGCCACGGCUAACUACGUGCCAGCAGCCGCGGUAAUACGUAGGUGGCAAGCGUUAUCCGGAAUUAUUGGGCGUAAAGCGCGCGUAGGCGGUUUUUUAAGUCUGAUGUGAAAGCCCACGGCUCAACCGUGGAGGGUCAUUGGAAACUGGAAAACUUGAGUGCAGAAGAGGAAAGUGGAAUUCCAUGUGUAGCGGUGAAAUGCGCAGAGAUAUGGAGGAACACCAGUGGCGAAGGCGACUUUCUGGUCUGUAACUGACGCUGUUGUGCGAAAGCGUGGGGAUCAAACAGG
RNAcentral lists this ribosomal RNA (429 nucleotides) under Actinomycetes bacterium. RNAcentral's name for it is "Actinobacteria bacterium partial 16S ribosomal RNA". It matches the Rfam family "Bacterial small subunit ribosomal RNA", at positions 355 to 776 of the family's 1533-position model. Lineage: Bacteria; Bacillati; Actinomycetota; Actinomycetes. The record is from RNAcentral.